Molecule: ribosomal RNA, 497 nt
Filed under: uncultured bacterium
Lineage: Bacteria
Description: partial 16S ribosomal RNA
Rfam family: Bacterial small subunit ribosomal RNA
Source: RNAcentral
GAUGAACGCUGGCGGCGUGCCUAAUACAUGCAAGUCGAGCGAAGAGAUGAGGAUCUUGCUCCUCUGACGUUAGCAGCGGACGGGUGAGUAACACGUGGAUAGCCUACCUAUUAGACUUGGAUAACUUCGGGAAACCGGAUCUAAUACCGGAUGAUAUAUUGAACCACAUGGUUCAAUAGUAAAAGUCGGUUUUUCUGUCACUAAUGGAUUAAUCCGCGCCCCAUUCGCUAGUUGGUGAGGUAACGGCUUAGCAAGGCAACGAUGCGUACCCGCCCUGAGAGGGAGAAUGGCCAGACUGGAACUGAGACACGGCAGACACACCGAGAGGGAGAAGCAGUCGGGAAUCCUCCGCGAUGGGGGAAAGCCGGACGGAGCAACGCCGCGUGAGUGCUGAAGCACUUAGGAUCGUAAAACUAUGUUAUUAGGGAAGAAGAAAUGUGUAAGUACCUAUGAACGUCUUGACGGUACCGAAUCAGAAAGCCCCGGCUAACUACGUG